This 458-nucleotide ribosomal RNA is filed under the name uncultured bacterium. RNAcentral's name for it is "bacterial SSU rRNA". It matches the Rfam family "Bacterial small subunit ribosomal RNA", at positions 340 to 786 of the family's 1533-position model. The record is from RNAcentral.
UACGGGAGGCAGCAGUGGGGAAUAUUGCACAAUGGGCGAAAGCCUGAUGCAGCUAUGCCGCGUGUAUGAAGAAGGCCUUAGGGUUGUAAAGUACUUUCAUCGGGGAGGAAAAACAAAACUAAUAAUUUUAUUUCUUGACGUUACCCGAAAAAGAAGCACCGGCUAACUCCGUGCCAGCAGCCGCGGUAAUACGGAGGGUGCUAGCGUUAAUCAGAAUUACUGGGCGUAAAGAGCACGUAGGUGGUUUUUUUAAGUCAGAUGUGAAAUCCCUGGGCUUAACCUAGGAACUGCAUUUUGAAACUGAAAUACUAGAGUAUCGUAGAGGGAGGUAGAAUUCUAGGUGUAGCGGUGAAAUGCGUAGAUAUCUGGAGGAAUACCUGUGGCGAAAGCGGCCUCCUAAACGAAUACUGACACUGAAGGUGCGAAAAGCGUGGGGAGCAAAACAGGGAUUAGAUACC